This 2227-nucleotide long non-coding RNA is filed under the name Musa acuminata (dwarf banana). RNAcentral's name for it is "long non-coding RNA (MACU_LNC007698)". Lineage: Eukaryota; Viridiplantae; Streptophyta; Magnoliopsida; Zingiberales; Musaceae. The record is from RNAcentral.
ACAUUAGUAGUUACUUGUCCAGUUGCUUGGCUCACCCGAGAUAUAGAAAAAUCCUGAUUUUGAUGAAUCCAUAAUUUCUACCGAGCCUAUAUCCUCAGCGUUCUAACUAAUGUUGAGUAAAGGCCAUAUAAUCUUUCGAACUCCUCUGCUAAGCACUAGAUCAUUGCUUUUUGAAACCAACUAACUCUCCAUUCUAUUCCAGAAGGUACCUAACCGCAAUUAACUUCAAGUACGCUUGUUUAUUUCCAAAUCUAUAUAAUAAAGCCAUUUCUUCGUUCAUCUAUAUAAUAAGGCCAUUUCUUAGUGAAUCUAUAUAAUUAAGGCCAUUUCUUAGUUAUGGUUACUGGGACAUUACUACAGGAAAGGCUUCUAGUUACUCCUUUUCUAUAAGUAUUCUAGUGACUCCUUUUCUAUAAGUAUAUUAUAGAUCUACAAAUUCUUACAUGUUAGUGGAGAAGAAUAACCCAAGAUACAGUAUUUUAAGGAAAGGCGAACACAAAAGCUCUAUUUUAGUAAAUUCCAAAUGAUUUCUCAUAUCCCUUUUACGUUACCACAUCCCCUCAGAGACAAACCAAGUAGAAAAUAGAUAGAGGAAAAGGUUGUUUUAUAGGAGCUAGAACAGGCCCCCAACAAGGUAGGAGGAAGCAACGCCUAAUUCCUAUUCCGGAAUGAUUUGGAAUCUAUUUUCCAUUAUGUACAGUGGUCGGAGUGUUGUUGAGUCAAACUAGAAUCAGCUGAAGGCGUUCUUUCAUUGCAGGAUCUAUCUCCUUCUCUAUUUGCCGAGAGGUCGGAGGGUACGCCUGACUAAAAGCGAUGCAACUGUCUAAUAAAUAGAACAGACCAAGCAGGACAUGAAAGACAACACCGUUUUUUUGCCUUAGGACAUAUUGUACCAGUGUUCAUUAGUUUAUUAGCUGGUCGCUACUAACUCAAUCUUGAAAAACCUCACUACAGCUUUCACAGCAAGAAGCUUGUGUUAUUAACAAAACAUAUAGAUUGGCCGGGAGGAUGCCAUUGAUUAUCCUCCUUCCUAACCGAAUGAUCAAAUGAUGCACAUAUCCUUAACGGGUACUACUAGACAACUCGGAGUUUUGAAGAUAUCCAUUCGAUUCUAUCUGGAACAUAAAGCAUCUGUAGGAACUGCCUACUUUAAAGCGGAUCCGCCUUACAAAAAGUGUAAUUAAUCGUAGGCCUAAGCCUAACAACAUAGAUAUUACCCAAAAGCCAGCGUUGCGCUUCAUCUCUGAUUGAAUCAGCCGAAAGGGCCAGUCCUCUCUUGUUAGGAAAGAUCUUACAUACGGAAGAUGGACAUGGUAAUCAAGCCGUUGUGUUUGUAAACAGUUUCUGGUGGGUAGCCCUUAUGUACAAAGGUUUCAUAGGCUUGGUUCAGAUUUGAUUAUCUCACGCCUAUCCACCUUAUUUCUACCGCAUAGCCUUCCAACCUGAAAUCAUCUUAUCGAUUCAAAAGAAGGCGGACUCCAUUUUCUAGUUAUUCCUAUUCUUUCUCCAAUGAGCUGUUCAAACCAAUCGUGGGGAAAGACACAUAGAUUACAGUAAACCCCGUCUUCGAAAUGCCAUUGAGGAAUAGGACCUACAGAAAUAAAGAGAUCUCAGUAUUGAUUUGGGCAAGGCUUCAUGUAAUUACGAAGUUGAUGUAAGAGAGAAUCAAAACCCCCUAUACUAGUUGGUCAACAACCAACCAAAACUAUCUUCUUUCUUUACUAUACGUAAAGGCUUUCUUUGUAUAAGCUGUCAGGAGGGAAUAUUCGAAUUUCAAUCAUGCCUCAACUGGAGAAAUGCACUUAUUUUAUUCAAUUGGUUAUAUAUACAGAAUAGGCAAGCUGACAAGACACUCAAUAUCUACUGGAGGAGCAGCAAUGAAGGCGAUAAUAAAUACAGAAGUUGCGGUCAAUAAGGUAGGGAUCAUCAAAACACCUUGUCCUGUGCCCUUAAUUAAUGGGCUAAAGGAGUUAAGAAACAUCAAAUGCAGUGCUAGUGUUGUCUUGUGGAAAUUAGCCAGGAAAGUAUAAGUGCCCAAAGUAGUGGUUAUAAGGGAGGAAUUCAUAUUCUAGGUAAGUAGGGAGCUAUGAUUUGAUUAAAGCAACAGAUGAAGCAGUGCGCAAGGAAGCAGGAAGGACAGAAUAUCGAAUUGCUUCGUCAAGGGCAAAAGAACCAUCAAUUCUAAAGUAGCCAAGCAACUACUCCAGUUUUCGCGGGUCUUCAAGGA